This 539-nucleotide ribosomal RNA is filed under the name uncultured bacterium. Its description in RNAcentral is "bacterial SSU rRNA". It matches the Rfam family "Bacterial small subunit ribosomal RNA", at positions 382 to 916 of the family's 1533-position model. The record is from RNAcentral.
CCUGACGCAGCGACGCCGCGUGGAUGAUGAAGGCCGAAAGGUUGUAAAGUCCUUUUGCUGGGGAAGAAUAAGUGUGGGAGGGAAUGCCCGCAUGAUGACAUGAACCGGCGAAUAAGCCCCGGCCAACUACGUGCCAGCAGCCGCGGUAACACGUAGGGGGCGAGCGUUGUUCGGAAUUACUGGGCGUAAAGGGCAUGUAGGCGGUCUGGUAAGCCUGGCGUGAAAGGCCACAGCUCAACUGUGGGAUUGCGUUGGGAACUGCUGGGCUUGAGUUAUGGAGAGGGAGCUAGAAUUCCUGGUGUAGGGGUGAAAUCUGUAGAUAUCAGGAAGAAUACCGAUGGCGAAGGCAAGCUCCUGGCCGAUGACUGACGCUGAGGUGCGAAAGUGUGGGGAUCAAACAGGAUUAGAUACCCUGGUAGUCCACACUGUAAACGAUGUGCACUAGGUGCUGGGGCGGUAGCUUCAGUGCCGGAGCGAACGUGGUAAGUGCACCGCCUGGGGAGUAUGCUCGCAAGGGUGAAACUCAAAGGAAUUGACGG